This 255-nucleotide ribosomal RNA is filed under the name uncultured bacterium. RNAcentral's name for it is "partial 16S ribosomal RNA". It matches the Rfam family "Bacterial small subunit ribosomal RNA", at positions 526 to 779 of the family's 1533-position model. The record is from RNAcentral.
CGUAGGGAGCAGGCGUUGUCCGGAUUUACUGGGUGUAAAGGGUGCGUAGGCGGCUUUGCAAGUCAGAUGUGAAAUCUAUGGGCUCAACCCAUAAACUGCAUUUGAAACUGUAGAGCUUGAGUGAAGUAGAGGCAGGCGGAAUUCCCCCGUGUAGCGGUGAAAUGCGUAGAGAUGGGGAGGAACACCAGUGGCGAAGGCGGCCUGCUGGGCUUUAACUGACGCUGAGGCACGAAAGCGUGGGUAGCAAACAGGAUU